Rattus norvegicus (Norway rat) is the source of this 69-nucleotide non-coding RNA. NCBI's taxonomy places the organism in Eukaryota, Metazoa, Chordata, Mammalia, Rodentia, Muridae. The record is from Rfam.
GGGGAUUUAGCUCAGUGGUAGAGCGCUUGCCUAGCAAGCGCAAGUCCCUGAGUUCGGUCCUCAGCUCCA